RNAcentral lists this small RNA (33 nucleotides) under Bombyx mori (domestic silkworm). Its description in RNAcentral is "ovarian small RNA-30522". The record is from RNAcentral. Lineage: Eukaryota; Metazoa; Arthropoda; Insecta; Lepidoptera; Bombycidae.
UGAAAUAACAAAGAUGGUGCUUAAUAUUAAUAA